GAUGAACGCUGGCGGCGUGCCUAAUACAUGCAAGUCGAGAGAACGGACGAGAAGCUUGCUUUUCUGAUGUUAGCGGCGGACGGGUGAGUAACACGUGGAUAACCUACCUAUAAGACUGGGAUAACUUCGGGAAACCGGAGCUAAUACCGGAUAAUAUUUUGAACCGCAUGGUUCAAAAGUGAAAGACGGUCUUGCUGUCACUUAUAGAUGGUUCCGCGCUGCAUUAGCUAGUUGGUAAGGUAACGGCUUAACAAGGCAACGAUGCAUAGCCGACCUGAGAGGGUGAGCGGCCACACUGGAACUGAGACACGGUCCAGACUCCUACGGGAGGCAGCAGUAGGGAAUCUUCCGCAAUGGGCGAAAGCAUGACGGAGCAACGCCGCGUGAGUGAUGAAGGUCUUCGGAUCGUAAAACUCUGUUAUUAGGGAAGAACAUAUGUGUAAGUAACUGUGCACAUCUUGACGGUACCUAAUCAGAAAGCCACGGCUAACUACGUG
This 497-nucleotide ribosomal RNA is filed under the name uncultured bacterium. Its description in RNAcentral is "partial 16S ribosomal RNA". It matches the Rfam family "Bacterial small subunit ribosomal RNA", at positions 28 to 507 of the family's 1533-position model. The record is from RNAcentral.